GACGAACGCUGGCGGCGUGCCUAAUACAUGCAAGUAGAACGCUGAAGGAGGAGCUUGCUCUUCUGGAUGAGAUGCGAACGGGUGAGUAACGCGUAGGUAACCUGCCUGGUAGCGGGGGAUAACUAUUGGAAACGAUAGCUAAUACCGCAUAAAAUUGAUUAUUGCAUGAUAGUCAAUUAAAAGGUGCAAUUGCAUCACACCAGAUGGACCUGCGUUGUAUUAGCUAGUUGGUGAGGUAACGGCUCACCAAGGCAACGAUACAUAGCCGACCUGAGAGGGUGAUCGGCCACACUGGGACUGAGACACGGCCCAGACUCCUACGGGAGGCAGCAGUAGGGAAUCUUCGGCAAUGGACGGAAGUCUGACCGAGCAACGCCGCGUGAGUGAAGAAGGUUUUCGGAUCGUAAAGCUCUGUUGUAAGAGAAGAACGAGUGUGAGAGUGGAAAGUUCACACUGUGACGGUAUCUUACCAGAAAGGGACGGCUAACUACGUG
RNAcentral lists this ribosomal RNA (494 nucleotides) under uncultured bacterium. RNAcentral's name for it is "partial 16S ribosomal RNA". It matches the Rfam family "Bacterial small subunit ribosomal RNA", at positions 28 to 507 of the family's 1533-position model. The record is from RNAcentral.